AACGAACGCUGGCGGCAUGCCUAACACAUGCAAGUCGAACGAGACCUUCGGGUCUAGUGGCGCACGGGUGCGUAACGCGUGGGAACCUGCCAUUAGGUUCGGAAUAACUCCCCGAAAGGGGUGCUAAUACCGGAUAAUGUCUUCGGACCAAAGAUUUAUCGCCUUUGGAUGUGCCCGCGUUGGAUUAGCUAGUUGGUAGGGUAAAAGCCUACCAAGGCGAGGAUCCAUAGCUGGUCUGAGAGGAUGAUCAGCCACACUGGGACUGAGACACGGCCCAGACGCGUACGGGAGGCAGCGGUGGGGAAUAUUUGAGAAGGGGCGAGAGCCUGAUCCAGCAAGGCCGCGUGAGUGAUGAAGGCCUUAGGGUUGUAAAUCUCUUUUACCCGGGAUGAUAAUGACAGUACCGGGAGAAGAAGCACCGGCUAACUCCGUG
This 433-nucleotide ribosomal RNA is filed under the name uncultured bacterium. RNAcentral describes it as "partial 16S ribosomal RNA". It matches the Rfam family "Bacterial small subunit ribosomal RNA", at positions 29 to 507 of the family's 1533-position model. The record is from RNAcentral.